CCAAACUGUUGCCUCGGCGGGAUCUCUGCCCCGGGUGCGUCGCAGCCCCGGACCAAGGCGCCCGCCGGAGGACCAACCAAAACUCUUUUUGUAUACCCCCUCGCGGGUUUUUUAUAAUCUGAGCCUUCUCGGCGCCUCUCGUAGGCGUUUCGAAAAUGAAUCAAAACUUUCAACAACGGAUCUCUUGGUUCUGGCAUCGAUGAAGAACGCAGCGAAAUGCGAUAAGUAAUGUGAAUUGCAGAAUUCAGUGAAUCAUCGAAUCUUUGAACGCACAUUGCGCCCGCCAGUAUUCUGGCGGGCAUGCCUGUCCGAGCGUCAUUUCAACCCUCGAACCCCUCCGGGGGGUCGGCGUUGGGGAUCGGCCCUGCCUCUUGGCGGUGGCCGUCUCCGAAAUACAGUGGCGGUCUCGCCGCAGCCUCUCCUGCGCAGUAGUUUGCACACUCGCAUCGGGAGCGCGGCGCGUCCACAGCCGUUAAACACCCAACUUCUGAAAUGUUGACCUCGGAUCAGGUAGGAAUACCCGCUGAACUUAAGCAUAUCAAUAAGCCGGAGGAA
Molecule: ribosomal RNA, 555 nt
Filed under: Trichoderma harzianum
Lineage: Eukaryota; Fungi; Ascomycota; Sordariomycetes; Hypocreales; Hypocreaceae
Description: eukaryotic LSU rRNA
Rfam family: 5.8S ribosomal RNA (bases 165-318)
Source: RNAcentral